Thalassophryne amazonica is the source of this 195-nucleotide long non-coding RNA. RefSeq lists it as uncharacterized. The record is from RefSeq and is a predicted model, not a curated record. NCBI's taxonomy places the organism in Eukaryota, Metazoa, Chordata, Actinopteri, Batrachoidiformes, Batrachoididae. The transcript is spliced from 3 exons.
GUCUUCAUUUAUUUCAUAGGAAAAAAAUUGUGAACUCAUUUAUGAAACAGUCAAAGGAGGGUUUUCGUUUUUUCCACCUACUACUGUGUAUAUGGUAUUUACACAGAAGUAAAAUAACAUUUACCAUCUCUGAUGUUGAGGGGUUUAAAUUAUCCAUAAAGAAGAGAAUACUAUUAGCAUCAAACGCAGGAACAU